Molecule: long non-coding RNA, 865 nt
Filed under: Monodelphis domestica (gray short-tailed opossum)
Lineage: Eukaryota; Metazoa; Chordata; Mammalia; Didelphimorphia; Didelphidae
Description: lncRNA (ENSMODG00000038404.1)
Source: RNAcentral
AUGAAGACCACGUCCCAGCCUGCGCUCUGCCGGCGCGGACAAAGUGUGAAUCAAAGUUCCUGCAAACAACUCCUUCUUGUUGUUUUUAAGUAUCUCCGUUUUAAUUUUACGUUUAAAAAAGUCCGACUCUAUCCCUUUAGCCGAAGCGAGUGCAGCGCGAGGCCCUUUCAGAAAUCGCAAGGAACUAACUCUCAGCCAGGAAUUCUCCCAAGCGUGUUUCCAAGCAACUUGUUCUCCUCUUCCACAUCUGAACUCGGACUUUCCACACUUCUCCCGGGAGCCCGAGGCUUAGCUAGUUUUUUUGUUUUGUUUUUAGGAAUCCAGCAGCACCUCCGCGGUCCUCCCCUCCUAGAUCCUGGCUCUCACUAUGUGAUGGGAGGCGACCCAGAGGACAGUCCUAGGAAGGCGAAGGAGUCACCCGCACUAUCCUCAGCCCAGACGGGACUGGAAACUCUGCUCCCAAGAAAACGAGGAGGCAAGGAUUUUGGAGGCAAUCAUCAAGCACUGUUCCACCGCUCUCCAUUUACUUCACAAGCUCUAAAUGUAAAAAACUACAUUGAAAUCAAUGGCCAAAGGAAAACUAUUUAAAAAAAUCCUAAUAUGGACAGUUGAUCAGAUUAGGCAGUGUUGGUGAACCUUUUUGAAAUCACAUGCCUAAACUGCAACAUCAAGCUGCCUGUGAGCUCUCUGCAUUACCUCAGACAGUGGAAAAAAAUUGUCAGAACAGAAAAUUUUGAAUUGCUUCUGAACAGGCUCCCCAAAGAAAUAAGAGAGAAGUCAAUUGAUUUGGAAUGUAAACGCAUGAAAUUGGCCAAUCUGGAAGAAGAGAAAUAAAAAGCAAUAAUAUUAAAGAAAGGAUUAUUUC